GGCAGCAGUGGGGAAUAUUGGACAAUGGGCGCAAGCCUGAUCCAGCAAUACCGCGUGUGUGAAGAAGGCCUGAGGGUUGUAAAGCACUUUCAAUAGGGAGGAAAACCUGUCGGCGAAUACCCGGCAGCUUGACAUUACCUAUACAAGAAGCACCGGCUAACUCCGUGCCAGCAGCCGCGGUAAUACGGAGGGUGCAAGCGUUAAUCGGAAUUACUGGGCGUAAAGCGUGCGUAGGCGGCUCGUUAAGUCAGAUGUGAAAGCCCCGGGCUUAACCUGGGAACGGCAUUUGAUACUGGCGAGCUCGAGUUUAAUAGAGGGGAGUGGAAUUUCAGGUGUAGCGGUGAAAUGCGUAGAUAUCUGAAGGAACACCAGUGGCGAAGGCGACUCCCUGGAUUAAAACUGACGCUGAGGUACGAAAGCGUGGGUAGCAAACAGGAUUAGAUA
Molecule: ribosomal RNA, 444 nt
Filed under: uncultured bacterium
Lineage: Bacteria
Description: bacterial SSU rRNA
Rfam family: Bacterial small subunit ribosomal RNA
Source: RNAcentral